AUAAAUAGAUCCAAGUUCGGAUUUCUUGAGCACUAAUGCCCUGCUAUUGCUGGGUUAUGUGAAACCCUUUCUUAUGUUGAACACAAGAAGCCCAUGAUUAUUGGUACCACAGAUUCUCACAUUCUUAAUCAGUUCCACCUGGCCAAUAAACAGUAAAGCCAGGACAGCUUCUCUUCUGUGUGGCUUUCCUACUUUAUGGGUAAUAAAGCUGUCCUCAGUGUGAUUUAGGAGUCCCUUUGAUGCCUGCUAGUUUACUGUAUUGGUAUUUCAGGGGUGUUGGCAGUCAGCGGUGAGACUGCACUCCUGGCAUCUCAGAACUGUGGCAGUGAGCUCACCCGGCUAAAUAGCGGGGGAAACACAGCUGAUAUUUAUGAUACUUUAUUUUAGGUGUGUUUCUUAUAAAGAGCUAGUUGGAUUUUCUUUUGAUUCAAAUCUACAAUCGCAUUGGAGCAGCAAUGCAUCACUGGAGUUGAGGCCCUUUAAUGCUCACUGCUGACCCCUGUCUUCAUAGCAUCGUGCUGAUGACCGUUCGUGGUUUAAAGAUCAUAUUUGCUCAUUUUAAAGACUGUGGUUUGGACACCAAACAGCUGAAACUGGAAAUAAUUAAACCAAGGAACUCAGCCUCCCUUGUCCGUACCAGCAGGAGUGGCAUCGGCCAGGAUAAACUAAAACCCAGCCAGGCUGAAGUAGGUAUAAACAAAGAAAAUAUUGAGAAAGGAGAAGAGUGGAAUGUUGGCUUCUUUCAGAUUGGAAGAAUAGAACAAAAUAUCAGCUACAAAUGUGUCCUGUGGCCUGAGGCAUUGAAGCACCGCAGAGCCCCGCAAUAAUUUCCUGACAGAUCAGACAACCCACUUAUUCCAUGUCCCGGUUGUCCCAGUGACCUAGAUCAUUGUCAACAACAAAGGUGCUUUAGCUUUCAGUUUAAAAUAUCUGCUGGGUUUGCAAACUCAGAUUCACUUUGCCAUUUAGCUGAAAAUGCAUUUUAGGGUGCUGGAGUUUGCUUUCAUUCAUUCAUCCGCGCUUACUUAGUUCUCAGUGCAGAAGAAAGAGUGCCACCUACUGGAUGUGGGAUAGGAGGAGAAUAUG
Molecule: long non-coding RNA, 1086 nt
Filed under: Cervus hanglu yarkandensis (Yarkand deer)
Lineage: Eukaryota; Metazoa; Chordata; Mammalia; Artiodactyla; Cervidae
Description: lncRNA (ENSCHYG00000004448.1)
Source: RNAcentral